AUUCUUACAGAUGGUUCUCUAGAAGUUCCGUUGCUUCUUAGAGGAGGGAUCUAGAAGUCAUCCUGAGGCAGUCUCCUUGGAGCAAGGUCGUGUUCUGGGCUGCAGGAGAGAAUGAGAGUCCCCAAAGUCCGAAUGAUAUGGAUUGAGGGCAGCAGUCUCCGUGGUAGUUUUUCCAACUAGGACAGUUCAAGAACUUCACCAGAGAUUUGUCAUGAAACCACCACUCACUCAGGGUUUGACUAAGGCUUUGUCUGCAGUACUUGAGAGAGAGAGUUAAUGAGAAAGCACAAGCAAGGAGAGCAGCAGGCAGAGGGAGACUGAGAAGCAGACUCCCCACUGAGGAAGAGCCUGACUCAGGGUUUGAUCUCAGGACCCUGGAAUCAUGACCUCAACCAAAAGCAGACGCUUAAAUGACUGAGCCGAGCCACCCAGGUGCUCCUACAGUGGUCCAUUUCUUAAUGAAGGAACUCUGUGAUUUUUCCUACUUGCUCAGCCACUUCUCUGGCCCUUAAUAUGUAAAAAGACCGUGUGGACCAAAAAAGAGGAGAAAAAAAAAAGAAAGAAUAAAAGGAGGAAAGUUCUGUGAGAAGUGCUGUUUUGCUCUCUACCCACAAGGAAGAAAGAAAAAGUAGGCUGGAGAAAAAGUUCCCUCUACUGUUGUAUCCAUUUUGACACACUGUUUUCAGGUGACUUUGUCACAGAAGUGUUAUAAAUGUGUCAUCUGAAUGGUUAAGUCCUUGACUUGGAUAUGUAUGUCAUCCUUGGUCCCUGUAAUGAGUCAGUCCAGCUAUCUCUGACAUCAGACUGUGUUUAUUCCUGGCUCCCCCUCCUAUGUGCUGUGUGACUUUGGACAAGUUACUUGAACUCUCUGUGCCUCAAAUCUCUCAUUGAUUAAAUAUCCUUCAAAAUGUUUUUGUAUGGAUUACAAAUAACAUCCAUUAUCUGUUAGAAUGUAGUGCUUGGUGUGUAGUAAGCAUUCG
This 980-nucleotide long non-coding RNA is filed under the name Mustela putorius furo (domestic ferret). RNAcentral's name for it is "lncRNA (ENSMPUG00000031513.1)". Lineage: Eukaryota; Metazoa; Chordata; Mammalia; Carnivora; Mustelidae. The record is from RNAcentral.